CCUACGGGGGGCAGCAGUGGGGGAUAUUGCACAAUGGGGGAAACCCUGAUGCAGCGACGCCGCGUGGGUGAAGAAGCGCCUCGGCGCGUAAAGCCCUGUCAGCAGGGAAGAAAAUGACGGUACCUGAAGAAGAAGCCCCGGCUAACUACGUGCCAGCAGCCGCGGUAAUACGUAGGGGGCAAGCGCUAUCCGGAUUUACUGGGUGUAAAGGGGGCGCAGACGGCGAUGCAAGCCAGGAGUGAAAGCCCGGGGCCCAACCCCGGGCCUGCUCUUGGAACUGCGUGGCUAGAGUGCAGGAGGGGCAG
RNAcentral lists this ribosomal RNA (305 nucleotides) under uncultured bacterium. Its description in RNAcentral is "bacterial SSU rRNA". It matches the Rfam family "Bacterial small subunit ribosomal RNA", at positions 338 to 660 of the family's 1533-position model. The record is from RNAcentral.